Non-coding RNA from Sarcophilus harrisii (Tasmanian devil), 72 nucleotides. The record is from Rfam. Lineage: Eukaryota; Metazoa; Chordata; Mammalia; Dasyuromorphia; Dasyuridae.
UAAAUUGAAGCCAAAUGUUAAGGUGCUUAGCUGUUAACUAAGAAGUAGUGAGAUAAAAACCCUCCAGUUUAG